GGGGGGUUAGCUCAGAUGGCUAGAGCGCCUGCCUUGCACGCAGGAGGUCGCGAGUUCGACUCUCGCACUCUCCA
RNAcentral lists this transfer RNA (74 nucleotides) under bacterium. RNAcentral describes it as "tRNA-Ala". It matches the Rfam family "tRNA". From Rfam's summary of the family: Transfer RNA (tRNA) molecules are approximately 80 nucleotides in length. Their secondary structure includes four short double-helical elements and three loops (D, anti-codon, and T loops). The record is from RNAcentral.